CAGUCGCCGCGGGAAUACGUAGGGUGCAAGCGUUAAUCGGAAUUACUGGGCGUAAAGCGUGCGCAGGCGGUUCUAUAAGACAGAUGUGAAAUCCCCGGGCUCAACCUGGGAACUGCAUUUGUGACUGUAGAGCUGGAGUGCGGCAGAGGGGGAUGGAAUUCCGCGUGUAGCAGUGAAAUGCGUAGAUAUGCGGAGGAACACCGAUGGCGAAGGCAAUCCCCUGGGCCUGCACUGACGCUCAUGCACGAAAGCGUGGGGAGCAAACAGGAUUAGAUACCCGUGUAGUCCCUGUCUCUUAUAC
RNAcentral lists this ribosomal RNA (301 nucleotides) under uncultured bacterium. Its description in RNAcentral is "partial 16S ribosomal RNA". It matches the Rfam family "Bacterial small subunit ribosomal RNA", at positions 509 to 807 of the family's 1533-position model. The record is from RNAcentral.